CAAGGUUGUUCCAACACGUCCGAUACAGUCAUGAUAUAACAAUAUUGUUAAAACCUUGUUUCGUCAACCUUGUAACAUUCUUGUCAUAUCAUGAAUGUAUCAGACGGUCAGGACAACCUUG
This 121-nucleotide microRNA precursor is filed under the name Paramuricea clavata. Lineage: Eukaryota; Metazoa; Cnidaria; Anthozoa; Malacalcyonacea; Plexauridae. The record is from RNAcentral.